This 378-nucleotide unclassified non-coding RNA is filed under the name plant metagenome. Its description in RNAcentral is "partial contains 5.8S ribosomal RNA, internal transcribed spacer 2, and large subunit ribosomal RNA". The stretch from base 1 to 105 matches the Rfam family "5.8S ribosomal RNA", at positions 50 to 154 of the family's 154-position model. The record is from RNAcentral.
GAAAUGCGAUAAGUAAUGUGAAUUGCAGAAUUCAGUGAAUCAUCGAAUCUUUGAACGCACCUUGCGCUCCUUGGUAUUCCUUGGAGCAUGCCUGUUUGAGUAUCAUGAAAUCUUCAAAGUAAAUCUUUUGUUAACUCAAUUGGUUUCUACUUUGGUAUUGGAGGUCUUUGCAGCUUCACACCUGCUCCUCUUUGUUCAUUAGCUGGAUCUCAGUGUUAUGCUUGGUUCCACUCGGCGUGAUAAGUUAUCUAUCGCUGAGGACACUGUAAAAGGUGGCCAAGGUAAAUGCAGAUGAACCGCUUCUAAUAGUCCAUUGACUUGGACAAUACUUUUAUGAUCCGAUCUCAAGUCAGGUAGGACUACCCGCUGAACUUAAGC